Molecule: unclassified non-coding RNA, 347 nt
Filed under: soil metagenome
Description: partial contains 5.8S ribosomal RNA, internal transcribed spacer 2, and large subunit ribosomal RNA
Rfam family: 5.8S ribosomal RNA (bases 1-120)
Source: RNAcentral
GAUGAAGAACGUAGCGAAAUGCGAUACGUAAUGUGAAUUGCAGAAUUCAGUGAAUCAUCGAGUCUUUGAACGCACAUUGCGCCCCCUGGUAUUCCGGGGGGCAUGCCUGUCCGAGCGUCAUUGCUGCCCUCAAGCACGGCUUGUGUGUUGGGCCCCGCCCCCCGGCUCCCGGGGGGCGGGCCCGAAAGGCAGCGGCGGCACCGCGUCCGGUCCUCGAGCGUAUGGGGCUUCGUCACCCGCUCCGUAGGCCCGGCCGGCGCCCGCCGGCGACCCCCCUCAAUCUUUUCAGGUUGACCUCGGAUCAGGUAGGGAUACCCGCUGAACUUAAGCAUAUCAUAAGCGGAGGA